AGAAGAAGAAGAGAGGAUUGACUAUUCUUUGAUUUGUUUUUAAUUCCCAGCACUCCCUGGUAGAGUCCUUGGUGCAUCCAAAACCUAACUCAGUGUCUCACAGAACCUAAUUUCAAUGUCUGAAGACUCUUUCCACUUUUCAUUUCUGUGAGACUAUAAUCCCAAUGUGGUGUAGUGGAUAGCAUGACAGACUAGGACUCUGGAGAACAAGGUUCGAAUUCCCACCUGGCCAUGGAAACUCACUGGGGGAGUGGAACUGGUAAAACCACUUCUUAAAUAUCUCACUUAUCUUCAAAGCCCUAUUAGGGUUGCUAUAAGUUGGUUCUGAAUUUACAGCAUAGAAAACAAACACACAUAUUAACAGUAAAUGUAAAUCCAAUGGUUUGGCAAAUAGCCACUUUUCCUUCCUCCUCCUCUUUCUGCUUCCUUUUCUCUUUGGCCUAAUGAAGACUUCUGGAAAGCUUGAAAAUUUGCACACUAUUUUAUGGCCUUCACCGUAUUUUGAUAUUUUCGUUAUUUCUAACACAGUAGCCUUUGUUUUCAGUGUUUUAAAAGAUUGCGUAUAAUGUUUUAUAUACUCCUGAUGUGCUUCAUACAGAAAGGACAAUGGCAACACUCUGCAUUCUUGAGAUAACAAGGAGGCACCUGUCACAUCUGGGACAAACUGGAGGUCUGUCUGCCCUUCCUUGGUGUAUUUUACUGCUGAUGCAAAGAAUAUCUGAGUGGAUUGUGAGGAGUGACAUAAUGGGCAAUGGCUUGGAUCCUCAGAUCUUCCAAGCCAGGUUGUGCUCAAUGGAUGUUCCCCGCAGCCCCUUGCACCCCAUGAAACCUAAUCCAGAGGGUUGUAGGACCCUUCAGAACAUCUUAAAGCAAGGGAUGGUGCAAGGGGAAAGAGGAACAGACUGUAGUGGUAGCUCACAAGGUAUAUUGAAAAUGUAAGGACAUGUGGAAAGGACAUUUGAGAUGCAAGCUCCCCCUUUGUUUCUCUCCC
This 991-nucleotide long non-coding RNA is filed under the name Pogona vitticeps (central bearded dragon). RNAcentral's name for it is "lncRNA (ENSPVIG00000017025.1)". The record is from RNAcentral. Lineage: Eukaryota; Metazoa; Chordata; Lepidosauria; Squamata; Agamidae.